Acanthosepion pharaonis is the source of this 102-nucleotide non-coding RNA. The record is from the annotation of a GenBank genome assembly. NCBI's taxonomy places the organism in Eukaryota, Metazoa, Mollusca, Cephalopoda, Sepiida, Sepiidae.
ACUAGAUCACGUUGAAACACCGGUUCUCGUAUGAUCACCGAAGUUAAGCAAGAUCGAGCCUGUUCAGUAUCUAAACGGGUAAGCGCUUGAGAAUACCAGGGG